RNAcentral lists this ribosomal RNA (762 nucleotides) under uncultured bacterium. RNAcentral's name for it is "bacterial SSU rRNA". It matches the Rfam family "Bacterial small subunit ribosomal RNA", at positions 8 to 796 of the family's 1533-position model. The record is from RNAcentral.
AGAGUUUGAUCAUGGCUCAGGAUAAACGCUGGCGGUGUGCUUUAUGCAUGCAAGUCGAACGAGUCAUUUCGGUGAUUAGUGGCAAACGGGUGAGUAACACGUAAGUGACCUGCCCUUAAGUGGGGGACAACUCUGAGAAAUCGGAGCUAAUACCGCAUGUGGUGAUGGUGGUAAAGCACCAUCACUAAAGCCUUCGGGUGCUUGAGGAGGGGCUUGCGUCCGAUUAGCUAGUUGGUGAGGUAAAGGCCUACCAAGGCGACGAUCGGUAGCUGGUUUGAGAGGACGACCAGCCACACUGGGACUGAGACACGGCCCAGACUCCUGCGGGAGGCAGCAGCAAGGAAUAUUGGGCAAUGGGCGAAAGCCUGACCCAGCGACACCGCGUGGGGGAAGAAGGCCUUCGGGUUGUAAACCCCUUUUCCCGGGGAAGAAUAAUGACGGUACCCGGGGAAUAAGUCUCGGCUAACUACGUGCCAGCAGCCGCGGUAAUACGUAGGAGGCAAGCGUUAUCCGGAUUUACUGGGCGUAAAGCGGGCGUAGGCGGCUUUUCAAGUCGGAUGUGAAAUCUCCUGGCUAAACUGGGAGGGUGCGUUCGAUACUGAUGGGCUAGAGUGCAGCAGAGGGAAGCGGAAUUCCCGGUGUAGUGGUGAAAUGCGUAGAUAUCGGGAAGAACACUAGUGGCGAAGGCGGCUUCCUGGGCUGUAACUGACGCUGAGGUCCGAAGGCGUGGGGAGCAAACAGGAUUAGAUACCCUAGUAGUCC